AUUGAACGCUGGCGGCAGGCCUAACACAUGCAAGUCGAGCGGUAGCACAGAGAGCUUGCUCUCGGGUGACGAGCGGCGGACGGGUGAGUAAUGUCUGGGAAACUGCCUGAUGGAGGGGGAUAACUACUGGAAACGGUAGCUAAUACCGCAUAACGUCGCAAGACCAAAGUGGGGGACCUUCGGGCCUCAUGCCAUCAGAUGUGCCCAGAUGGGAUUAGCUGGUAGGUGGGGUAACGGCUCACCUAGGCGACGAUCCCUAGCUGGUCUGAGAGGAUGACCAGCCACACUGGAACUGAGACACGGUCCAGACUCCUACGGGAGGCAGCAGUGGGGAAUAUUGCACAAUGGGCGCAAGCCUGAUGCAGCCAUGCCGCGUGUGUGAAGAAGGCCUUCGGGUUGUAAAGCACUUUCAGCAGGGAGGAAGGCGGUGAGGUUAAUAACCUCACCGAUUGACGUUACCCGCAGAAGAAGCACCGGCUAACUCCGUGCCAGCAGCCGCGGUAAUACGGAGGGUGCAAGCGUUAAUCGGAAUUACUGGGCGUAAAGCGCACGCAGGCGGUCUGUCAAGUCGGAUGUGAAAUCCCCGGGCUCAACCUGGGAACUGCAUUCGAAACUGGCAGGCUAGAGUCUUGUAGAGGGGGGUAGAAUUCCAGGUGUAGCGGUGAAAUGCGUAGAGAUCUGGAGGAAUACCGGUGGCGAAGGCGGCCCCCUGGACAAAGACUGACGCUCAGGUGCGAAAGCGUGGGGAGCAAACAGGAUUAGAUACCCUGGUAGUCCACGCUGUAAACGAUGUCGAUUUGGAGGUUGUGCCCUUGAGGCGUGGCUUCCGGAGCUAACGCGUUAAAUCGACCGCCUGGGGAGUACGGCCGCAAGGUUAAAACUCAAAUGAAUUGACGGGGGCCCGCACAAGCGGUGGAGCAUGUGGUUUAAUUCGAUGCAACGCGAAGAACCUUACCUGGUCUUGACAUCCACAGAACUUUCCAGAGAUGGAUUGGUGCCUUCGGGAACUGUGAGACAGGUGCUGCAUGGCUGUCGUCAGCUCGUGUUGUGAAAUGUUGGGUUAAGUCCCGCAACGAGCGCAACCCUUAUCCUUUGUUGCCAGCGGUCCGGCCGGGAACUCAAAGGAGACUGCCAGUGAUAAACUGGAGGAAGGUGGGGAUGACGUCAAGUCAUCAUGGCCCUUACGACCAGGGCUACACACGUGCUACAAUGGCAUAUACAAAGAGAAGCGACCUCGCGAGAGUAAGCGGACCUCAUAAAGUAUGUCGUAGUCCGGAUUGGAGUCUGCAACUCGACUCCAUGAAGUCGGAAUCGCUAGUAAUCGUAGAUCAGAAUGCUACGGUGAAUACGUUCCCGGGCCU
This 1361-nucleotide ribosomal RNA is filed under the name uncultured bacterium. RNAcentral's name for it is "bacterial SSU rRNA". It matches the Rfam family "Bacterial small subunit ribosomal RNA", at positions 28 to 1381 of the family's 1533-position model. The record is from RNAcentral.